AUGUAUGUUACUGAUGCUUUAUAUAUAUAUAUAUAUAUAUGUGUGUGUGUGUGUGUGUGUGUGUAUACAUACACACACCGCAAACCUUAUGUGUAUCAACACA
Molecule: microRNA precursor, 103 nt
Filed under: Pelodiscus sinensis (Chinese soft-shelled turtle)
Lineage: Eukaryota; Metazoa; Chordata; Testudines; Trionychidae
Description: miRNA (ENSPSIG00000019435.1)
Source: RNAcentral